Molecule: ribosomal RNA, 253 nt
Filed under: uncultured bacterium
Lineage: Bacteria
Description: partial 16S ribosomal RNA
Rfam family: Bacterial small subunit ribosomal RNA
Source: RNAcentral
UACGAGGGGUGCAAGCGUUGCUCGGAAUUAUUGGGCGUAAAGAGCUCGUAGGCGGUUUGUCGCGUCUGCCGUGAAAGUCCGGGGCUCAACUCCGGAUCUGCGGUGGGUACGGGCAGACUAGAGUGAUGUAGGGGAGACUGGAAUUCCUGGUGUAGCGGUGAAAUGCGCAGAUAUCAGGAGGAACACCGAUGGCGAAGGCAGGUCUCUGGGCAUUAACUGACGCUGAGGAGCGAAAGCAUGGGGAGCGAACAGG